Long non-coding RNA from Herpailurus yagouaroundi (jaguarundi), 1340 nucleotides. RefSeq lists it as uncharacterized. Lineage: Eukaryota; Metazoa; Chordata; Mammalia; Carnivora; Felidae. The record is from RefSeq and is a predicted model, not a curated record. The transcript is spliced from 2 exons.
CUGCCCCUCCCUGUUUGUACUCUGUCUCUCUCUGUCUCAAAAAGAAAUAAACAUUAAAAAAAAUUAUAACACUUCAAAAAAUCUAUGAAGCAAUGUAUAGUCAUCUUCUUCCAGAAAGCUUUAGAAAUAGCAUAUAUUUCCCCCUGUAAUCUAAUAUUAUAAUAAUUAUUUUGUUUAGCAUUAAUGUGGCAUUUAUAUCAAAUAACUUGGUUUUAGGCUUAACUAAGCCACAGACCCCUAAAUUUUUUUUAGCAGAAAGCAUUUUUUUCUCCUUUCUCAGUAUUUAUGUUUUAAUAAAGCUAAAAUAUAGUCAGUAUUAAUGUAAAUAUAUAAAAUCUAUAUACCUCACUUUAGAAAUUUUUUGAAACCAUGAAAUCAGAAAUUAAUGAACAUCAAUAUUAAUUAGGUCUGAAGAAAUUAUGAUAUACGGCUUUAUUGCUAUAUAGUAAAAGAAGCUUUCUAUAUAUUAUAUUUGAUUCUCAUAGCCCCCUUAUGAAGGUAGGUUAGACAAUAGACAACUUUUAUUAUUUCUGUUUUAUAGGUGGAAAAACUGAGGUUUGGAGUUUAACUGGCCUAAAUUUUAUGACCUUAAUAAUUUACCUCUAUAGUUACCUUUUUUUUUUUUUUUUUUUUUUGCAUGUCACUUGGUCAGUCAUGGUAGUAUUUAUUAUCUUGUUUCUUCCAGGGAAUGCAGAACUCUUGAUGAUCUUUAUUCUUGAAAAUUUAAGAGGAAUAAUCUGUCAUUUGGCAUGAUCCCAAAGGUAGCACAAAUGGAAGGAAUGACCAAUAUGAGUGCCUGGUGAAACACUUAUUAUCUCUUCUUGGCCGCACAUACCAGAAAAACAAUCACUAGAGAAUACUUGAGCAAGCAACAUUUUAUAGAAUUGUUUGGUGGGCAUCAGGAAGAUGGUAGGUCAAGGGACCAUGCUGCUGGUUGGAGUCUGUCUCGCUGAAGUCUUGAAAAACCAGUGAAGACCUAAAAUAAUAGGAUGUAUUCUGAUUAAAUAAGCCAAAAACUCUAACUUUGUUUCAUCAACUCUGGGAAGACUGUACAAAAUCUUAUAGACCAGUGACACCUUAUACAGUUCUGAAAAAAAGCAUUGUAAGGUUCAGAUAAAACUUUUGUGUGCAAAUUUUAGGAGUUGGUGUGGUCUAGGAGCUUGUGAAGAUGAAGUGUUUCACGUUCUGAUUUCAUGAAAUGUUCCAUAUUUCUUUUAAUCUUAAUGUAGGAUGAUGGGAUAUGCACACUUCUUAUUUAACAGUGAUUACUGUAUGUAAUAACUAACUCAUCUGCUUACCAUAAACAUGGGACAGUGGUUACAAUAAAGAUAUUGAGUAGA